Molecule: transfer RNA, 84 nt
Rfam family: tRNA
About the family: Transfer RNA (tRNA) molecules are approximately 80 nucleotides in length.
GCCGAGGUGGUGGAAUUGGUAGACACGCAAGCUUGAGGGGCUUGUGGGAGCAAUCCCGUGCAGGUUCAAGUCCUGUUCUCGGCA